AGGGAAUCUUCCGCAAUGGACGCAAGUCUGACGGAGCAACGCCGCGUGAGUGAAGAAGGUUUUCGGAUCGUAAAACUCUGUUGUUAGAGAAGAACAAGUGCUAGAGUAACUGUUAGCGCCUUGACGGUAUCUAACCAGAAAGCCACGGCUAACUACGUGCCAGCAGCCGCGGUAAUACGUAGGUGGCAAGCGUUGUCCGGAUUUAUUGGGCGUAAAGCGAGCGCAGGCGGUUCCUUAAGUCUGAUGUGAAAGCCCCCGGCUCAACCGGGGAGGGUCAUUGGAAACUGGGGAACUUGAGUGCAGAAGAGGAGAGUGGAAUUCCAUGUGUAGCGGUGAAAUGCGUAGAUAUAUGGAGGAACACCAGUGGCGAAGGCGACUCUCUGGUCUGUAACUGACGCUGAGGCUCGAAAGCGUGGGUAGCAAGCAGGAUUAGAUACCCUGGUAGUCCACGCCGUAAACGAUGAGUGCUAAGUGUUGGAGGGUUUCCGCCCUUCAGUGCUGCAGUUAACGCAUUAAGCACUCCGCCUGGGGAGUACGACCGCAAGGUUG
This 549-nucleotide ribosomal RNA is filed under the name uncultured bacterium. RNAcentral describes it as "bacterial SSU rRNA". It matches the Rfam family "Bacterial small subunit ribosomal RNA", at positions 356 to 896 of the family's 1533-position model. The record is from RNAcentral.